CAUUUCCAUUCAUUUGCUUAUGUUUUCUCUCAAGGUUAUGGAGUUAGAAAUGGUGCAGCACUCGGGGGAUAUGGAAGUCAACUUAACGGUAAACAGGUUCCAUGUUUACGCUACAAGCUGUUUGUGACCAUGCGGAUGUGUGAUUGUAAUGAUAUCAAUCGUUCUCCUCAGGACACGGAGCAGCCUCAAAACUCCACACCACCAAAGGAGUCGGAGCAGCGUCGCCCAGUCAAGGUGCAGCAACACUGGGCACAGGAUACGAUGGUGCUGCUGAUGCAUGGAGCGGACAGAUUGCUAAAGCAGCCAAUUCUGGCUAUGGCUCGUUGCCAAAUGCGAAGGCCUCAAAGACGACAGGAGCCUCCAGUGACUCGACACUUUAUGCUCUCUCUCCUGAGCAACUGGAUCCAGCACUACUGGGUUCCGUGCCUCAACCAGCAAUGAGCAACCAGCAACCUGCCCCUGAGCCAACGAGUGGAGUCCUGGUUAGAGUCACACCUGAGCAGCAUCAUUCACCUGUGCCACAAGGAAAAGCCUACAAACAGCCGCCUCAGGCGUUGUCGGAGCACCCACCAAUGCUUCUCCAGGGAAAAGGUCCCAAGCCGGCUCCACAGCCCACACCUGAAUCCGCACACAUGGGUCCAGAGGGGCCUGCAGCCGUCUUCACCCAGAGCAACCCACCCCCAGAACCAGCGGCGGUCCUGCCUGAAGGGAUCGGAGGAGCCUCAGUCACCAAAGGACAGGGAGCUGAAGCAGACUGUGACCCAUCGGUACCAAACGGACAAUGGGUGAAAAUACCCCGACCAGGACUGAAAGCAGGAGCUGAAGCAGCCGCUGGCACAAUGACUAAAGGUGAGGGAACAUUACAUUUUGUGUCGAUACAGUUUUAUCGUUCACAUUGUUUCUUUGAUUUGAUUAGUUUGGGAGAUUUGAAGCAGGAGCUGGAGAUUUAAACGCUUUACUGUUUUCACUAUUGAAGCCUAUUACCCAGUUUGUCUGUUGUGUUAUUAGGAUAUGGGGCCAGUGCUGGGGGAUAUGCAAAUGGAGGAGCAGCUAUAGCAAACACACCCGGUAAGGAGCCUCAUGCUGUGUAAGCGUAAAGGGUUGUUGAUACUGGGAUCUGGUUUUGAUUUACACUCUAAUGACUAAUGAUCUGUUUGCGUGACUUGACUUGCUGAUAACAGUGACUCACAUUUAACAAUAACACUGUGGGUCAAGGCCCUGAGAUAUGUAUGGAACCAUUACAGUGGAAGUGAGAUUUCUUGUAAUGAUGUGGUGAAUAUUUAUGUAGGUUUGUGUUCUUCUGCGUGUUUGGUUGCAUUCAGUGUAUCUGAGGGUUUUGUUUCUUCCAAAGCUAGCGCAGCAGCAGGCUUCGCUCUCCCUGGACUCUUUCCUGGAUAUGGACCUGGUAACAUUUCCUGUUCAUACAAACAAGCAUGAGCUGUGUGCAUUUCUUAUUUUACCCUAUGGAUUUAUGUCCUCAGGUCUUGGCUAUCCAUAUGCAGGAAAACCAAAGCAGCCUGGUUAGUGUGUGUUUUGUUUUUUUCUUAUUUUGCUGAAAUACGUUACGUUUGGCUUCAGAUCUUUGUGUUGCAUGCAGGUUACGGACACGGCGCGUACCUCGGGGCUGGAUAUGAAAAUGGAAAUUCCCAUAAAGGUCAGUGCCACAGCGGCUUCAUGUAAGGACUUAAUGAGCAUUUACAUGUCACCAUUGUUGCAGUGAGGUGGUUCCUUCUUUCAUGCAGGUUAUGGAAAUGGCUUCAGAGCAGGUGUGCAGCCGGAUUAUGCAAGUAAGUAACGGGAUUUGAAAUGUAUUCUAUUGUUUUAAUUACAGCAACAGCCAAUACUUGUCUUUUUUCCAGGCCUUGGACAAGCUACACCCAGUGUUGAUGCAAAAUCAGGUAUGAAACAUGCAGCUGUGCUACUGAUCCUCUUAUUUCUACCUUUAAAGCA
Molecule: long non-coding RNA, 1950 nt
Organism: Betta splendens (Siamese fighting fish)
Lineage: Eukaryota; Metazoa; Chordata; Actinopteri; Anabantiformes; Osphronemidae
Source: Ensembl